CCCUUAGAUGUUCUGGGCCGCACGCGUGCUACACUGAGUGGAUCAGCGGGUCAGGUUGCGCGAAAGCGUUUCCUAAUCUUUAAAUCCGCUCGUGAUGGGGAUUGACGGUUGCAAUUUUCUGUCAUGAACGAGGAAUACCUUGUAAGCGCGGGUCAUCAUCCCGCGCUGAAUACGUCCUUGCCCUUUGUACACACCGCCCGUCGCUCCUACCGAUUGAGUGGUCCGGUGAGGCUUUGGGAUCUGAGCGGAAAGAGCGUUUCGCUGUUUCUGCUCGGAAAACUCAGUCGAACCUUAUCAUUUAGAGGAAGGAGAAGUCGUAACA
This 322-nucleotide ribosomal RNA is filed under the name uncultured eukaryote. RNAcentral describes it as "partial 18S ribosomal RNA". It matches the Rfam family "Eukaryotic small subunit ribosomal RNA", at positions 1470 to 1796 of the family's 1831-position model. The record is from RNAcentral.